UAAGGUGAGCGGGAUAACUCUCGUUAAGGAACUCUGCAAGUUGACCCCGUAACUUAGGGAGAAGGGGUGCCACUGCGGUGAAGUCAAUGCUGGCGGAGCCGCGAGUGGUCGCAGAAACCAGGCUCAGGCGACUGUUUACUAAAAACACAGGACUCUGCAUAAGGCGCAAGCCGAAGUAUAGGGUCUGACACCUGCCCGGUGCUGGAAGGUUAAAGGGAGAGGUUAGUCGCAAGGCGAAGCUUUGAACUGAAGCCCCAGUAAACGGCGGCCGUAACUAUAACGGUCCUAAGGUAGCGAAAUUCCUUGUCGGGUAAGUUCCGACCUGCACGAAUGGUGUAACGAUCUGAGCGCUGUCUCGACGGGAGACCCGGUGAAUUUGUGGUUCUGGUAAAGACACCAGAUACCUGUGGUGGGACGGAAAGACCCCAUGGAGCUUUACUGUAACCUGAUACUGGAUUUUGGCAUGUCAUGCACAGGAUAGGUGGGAGACAUUGAAGCCAUGACUUUGGUUGUGGUGGAGUCGACGUUGGGAUACCACCCUUGAGAUGCCGGAAUUCUAACCGCAGCGUCUGAAUCGACGAGCGGGACACUGUCAGGCGGGCAGUUUGACUGGGGCGGUCGCCUCCUAAAGAGUAACGGAGGCGCGCAAAGGUCACCUCUGGGCGGAUGGAAAUCGCCCGUGCGAGCGCAAGUGUAUAAGGUGGCCUGACUGUGAGACUGACAAGUCGAGCAGGGACGAAAGUCGGUACUAGUGAUCCGGCGGUUCCGAAUGGAAGGGCCGUCGCUCAACGGAUAAAAGCUACCCUGGGGAUAACAGGCUGAUCCUGCCCGAGAGUUCCUAUCGACGGCAGGGUUUGGCACCUCGAUGUCGGCUCAUCGCAUCCUGGGGCUGUAGCAGGUCCCAAGGGUUGGUCUGUUCGCCCAUUAAAGCGGUACGUGAGCUGGGUUUAGAACGUCGUGAGACAGUUCGGUCCCUAUCCACCACGGGCGUAGGGUAUUUGAGGAGAGCUGCUCCUAGUACGAGAGGACCGGAGUGGACGAACCGCUGGUGUAUCGGUUGUGCUGCCAAGUGCAUACGCCGAGUAGCUAUGUUCGGAACGGAUAACCGCUGAAGGCAUCUAAGCGGGAAGCCGCCUUCAAGAUGAGAUACCCCAUUCCCGAGAGGGAAGUAAGGCGUCCCGGAGAACACGGGGGAGAUAGGCCGGAGGUGGAAGCGCUGAGAGGCGUGGAGCUGACCGGUACUAAUACGCCGAGGCCUUGCCCUC
RNAcentral lists this ribosomal RNA (1265 nucleotides) under bioreactor sludge metagenome. Its description in RNAcentral is "bacterial LSU rRNA". It matches the Rfam family "Bacterial large subunit ribosomal RNA", at positions 1682 to 2925 of the family's 2925-position model. The record is from RNAcentral.